GACGAACGCUGGCGGCGUGCUUAACACAUGCAAGUCGUACGGUAAGGCCCUUUCGGGGGUACACGAGUGGCGAACGGGUGCGUAACACGUGAGUAACCUGCCCACAACUUUGGGAUAACGCUAGGAAACUGGUGCUAAUACUGGAUAUGUGCUCCUGCUGCAUGGUGGGGGUUGGAAAGCUCCGGCGGUUGUGGAUGGACUCGCGGCCUAUCAGCUUGUUGGUGGGGUAGUGGCCUACCAAGGCGGCGACGGGUAGCCGGCCUGAGAGGGUGACCGGCCACAUUGGGACUGAGAGACGGCCCAGACUCCUACGGGAGGCAGCAGGGGGGAAUAUUGCACAAUGGGCGCAAGCCUGAUGCAGCAACGCCGCGUGCGGGAUGACGGCCUUCGGGUUGGAAACCGCUUUCAGCAGGGACGAAGCUUUUUGUGACGGUACCUGCAGAAGAAGCACCGGCUAACUACGUG
This 465-nucleotide ribosomal RNA is filed under the name uncultured bacterium. RNAcentral describes it as "partial 16S ribosomal RNA". It matches the Rfam family "Bacterial small subunit ribosomal RNA", at positions 28 to 507 of the family's 1533-position model. The record is from RNAcentral.